This is a long non-coding RNA of Pectinophora gossypiella (pink bollworm), 181 nucleotides long. RefSeq lists it as uncharacterized. NCBI's taxonomy places the organism in Eukaryota, Metazoa, Arthropoda, Insecta, Lepidoptera, Gelechiidae. The record is from RefSeq and is a predicted model, not a curated record. The transcript has 3 exons.
UUUGGGUUUUGUUAAGUUUGGGUUUGGGUUAGGUUUGGGUUUGGGUUAGGCUUGGGUUUGGUUUUAUUUUUGUUAGGUUUGGGUUUUUUUGGGUUGGGUUUUGUUCAGUUUGGGUUUCGUUAGGUUUGGGUUUUGUUAGGUUUGGUUUUUAGGUUUGGAUUUUGUUAGGUUUGGGUUUUUU